This 445-nucleotide ribosomal RNA is filed under the name uncultured bacterium. RNAcentral's name for it is "partial 16S ribosomal RNA". It matches the Rfam family "Bacterial small subunit ribosomal RNA", at positions 354 to 796 of the family's 1533-position model. The record is from RNAcentral.
GUAGGGAAUAUUGGGCAAUGGAUGCAAGUCUGACCCAGCCAUCCCGCGUGCCGGAAGAAGGCCCUCAGGGUUGUAAACGGCUUUUGACGGUGAAGAAUCGACAGGAUGCGUCCUGUUUUGACGGUAGCCGUUGAAUAAGCACCGGCUAACUCCGUGCCAGCAGCCGCGGUAAUACGGAGGGUGCGAGCGUUGUCCGUAUUUAUUGGGUUUAAAGGGUGCGUAGGCUGGAAGGUAAGUCAGCGGUGAAAAGCUAUCGCUUAACGAUAGUCUUGCCGCAGAUACUUCCUUUCUUGGAUGAGGAGGAGGCCACUGGAACGGAUGGUGUAGCGGUGAAAUGCAUAGAUAUCAUCCAGAACACCGAUUGCGAAGGCAGGUGGCUGUACCUUAAUCGACGCUGAUGCACGAAAGCAUGGGGAGCAAACAGGAUUAGAAACCCUUGUAGUCC